UUCUGUCUGGAAGAGGAGGAGCCAGUGUGCCAGCAGUGUCAGACAGAGGAGCACAAAGAGCACCAGUGCUGCUCUAUACAGGAGGCUGUCCUCGACUGUAAGUGAGCUGAUCACCUGGUGGAGUCGCACACCUGCUGGCAAUCCUCAUCAGUGCCUGGCCUUAAGAAGUGGGGUUUCCUGAGACUCGUCGCCAGAUUAUUCCUUACCCAUGAUUCCUGAGUGUUUUGUGUUGCCUGGAGGAUCUUUUGGAGCGCUGGUUGCCACUGUUCAGGACCUGCCUGCCCCUGCUCCCACCUGCCCUUUUCAAGCACAGUUCCACUUCUACUCAGUUCUUUGUGAAUAAAACCCUUGACCUCAA
Dicentrarchus labrax (European seabass) is the source of this 358-nucleotide long non-coding RNA. RefSeq lists it as uncharacterized. The transcript has 3 exons. The record is from RefSeq and is a predicted model, not a curated record. NCBI's taxonomy places the organism in Eukaryota, Metazoa, Chordata, Actinopteri, Moronidae.